CCAGAGCACAAGCCGCUGGUGAGCCGCUGCUGCAGUUUCUUGAUUAUGGAGUUCUGUGCUCGUUGUUGAGGCGAUCGGUAUUUUGAUAUCUUGCUACUGCCUUCUGGGUAAAAGGUGAACGGAUCCAACGUUAGUAAUCCCAAAGCAUUGAUGAAGAGACAAGACCAGAAUCCUAGGAGACAGUUUUCUGGAUUGUAAUACAUCACCAGAUAUUUGCUACUGCCAACACUACUCACUUGAGGAGUACUAUCACCUCUUGGCUGAGAAGAUCUACAAGAUCCAGAAGGAGCUGCAGCAAAAGCAACAGAAGAGGAUUCAGGAGGUACUGAUGCUGCCGCUGGAGGCAUCCUCACGAUGGCAACAGCGCAGCUGCCCCAGCCACAGCCUCCCCACUAUUUGCCCAGACCUGGAUGUCUACUGGGAAAAUGUAGCUCUUUCAACCAACGUAU
Long non-coding RNA from Acanthaster planci (crown-of-thorns starfish), 449 nucleotides. NCBI's taxonomy places the organism in Eukaryota, Metazoa, Echinodermata, Asteroidea, Valvatida, Acanthasteridae. The record is from RefSeq and is a predicted model, not a curated record.